CGUGUGAUAAGGAGAGUUAAGCUGAGAAGCGUAAGAAGGAAUCAAUACUCUUCGAUGCACCUUAGGAUGAGAUGUAUCAGAUCAAUCCCCGUAUCAAGCGCGCUUCAUGUGUGAGUUUGAGAUUAAAUGUGAUCAAUAGUACAAAUCUCUUCUUACGCUUCUCACCUUGUCUCUCUUUCUCACA
Molecule: non-coding RNA, 184 nt
Filed under: Cynara cardunculus (cardoon)
Lineage: Eukaryota; Viridiplantae; Streptophyta; Magnoliopsida; Asterales; Asteraceae
Also listed under: 1 other name
Source: miRBase by way of RNAcentral